ACAGCCAUACAUACUUAAAAACACACUUAUAUACCUCAAACACAGCCAUACAUACACUCAUAUACCUCAAACACAGCCAUACAUACACUUAUAUACCUCAAACACUCGUAAACACAGCCAAACACACUCAUACCCGUGGUGGUAUUUAGUGUUAGUCCUCAGUCUUGCCACACACACACACACAGACAGACAUGCCCCCAAACACUCUUAAACACCAAAUAACACACACAGACAUAAGUGUGCAGUGUUUAGGAGCACCAAGCAGUGAGUGAGACAGCAGUACACGGUGUCAGCGUACACCACAAUCCUCCACAGCGUUCAUGUGUGAGGCUCAGGCGUGUAGAUGGAAGCAACAGAAAGACUAAAAAAGGGAAACAGAGGAGGAGGAAUGAGAAAGGGAAGCGGAAGAAGAGGAGGAGUCAAGCCACAACAUUUAGGAGCUGCCGAUACAAAGGCCUGACCCAGAAGAAAUUCUGCGUCACCUGUACCAUCAAGAUCAAGAUCAAGACCGAGGCGGCCCUCCCACCGGCGCUGCCGCCACAACCACCCUCUCUUGUGGCAGGGGCUGGCAGGGACGCGCUGGGACGCAUCCUCUUCACCGACCCACACAAAUACAAGGACGCCAUAUACAAGAGGUGGACACAGCGGGAAAAGAAGAAAAAAGAACUUCAACAUUAGCGGAACAAAGAACGAGAAGAAGUAAGGAGCUUCCGUUGCAACAUCUACAUCUACAUCUACCACUAAUGGCCACCGGGAUACGUGUCUUAUUUAAUGAUUUCCGAGGCCCCUGGCGGUCAUGGAGGGCGGUGAGCAGUGCCUGGGGUCAUGUUGCUUGUGUGGCCGGUGUGAAUGUGACCGGGGGCUUGGCAGGGGUGAUGGGAGGCUUGGCAAGGGUGGCAGGGGGGCGAGGUACAGAAAAUACCCCCCGGCGUACAUGCCCU
RNA transcript from Portunus trituberculatus (swimming crab), 941 nucleotides. RefSeq lists it as uncharacterized. Lineage: Eukaryota; Metazoa; Arthropoda; Malacostraca; Decapoda; Portunidae. The transcript is spliced from 4 exons. The record is from RefSeq and is a predicted model, not a curated record.